This 58-nucleotide transfer RNA is filed under the name Cricetulus griseus (Chinese hamster). The record is from Rfam by way of RNAcentral. Lineage: Eukaryota; Metazoa; Chordata; Mammalia; Rodentia; Cricetidae.
UGGCUCAGAGGUUAAGAGCACUGACUGCUCUUUCAGAGGUCCUGGGUUCAAUUCCCAG